RNA transcript from Cynoglossus semilaevis (tongue sole), 6180 nucleotides. It is a transcript of the gene named ankyrin repeat and sterile alpha motif domain containing 1Ab, with no coding region annotated. NCBI's taxonomy places the organism in Eukaryota, Metazoa, Chordata, Actinopteri, Pleuronectiformes, Cynoglossidae. The record is from RefSeq and is a predicted model, not a curated record. The transcript is spliced from 15 exons.
UCUGCGUUUUUAGCUUCAAGAGAAAAAUCCCUGUUGUGAAAAUGACAAUGAUGGAACGUUCACUCAUCCAUGCGUUAUCUCCGUGACUAACCAUGUGCAAAACAAAGGUGUUUCUACAUUUGCAGUUUUUACCAGGCCUUUGACAAAACUGUCUCUAAUUGUUCCAAAUCAUUUCCAGAUUAGAAACUGUCACUGUCGUCUUAUCUCCUGCAGAAAUCCCUGCUCUGUUUAGUCAGUCAAUUAGCCUCCGAGGUGUAACAGGGAGUAAAAAAGUCAUUUGUUUCCAUGCAAUUCACGCAUGUAAUGAUGUCUUUAACAAACACCCGUCUCUUGUCGGAAAUGAGCGACAUUGACAUUGGCAGAAACACAAACUGCUGCUCUGCCAUUUUCUUUCUUUGCGCUCAGAUUGGAACAUGUCAGCUCUCAAAGGUUUAUCUGACACAAAACAGAACGCCUUUUUUGCACAUUUUUAUUCUUUGAAGAAAAGUUGUUAGAGCAGGGGUUCGCAAACCUUUUAGGGUCAUGAACCAAGAUGAGGUUAAAUAUAUGACGUGUGGACUUGUUCAGUAUUGGUCAGGCGUAGAAAGCUGAGUUAAAAAGAAUAAACCUAAACUUUAAAUAAACAUUUGAUGUCUGCCACCUACAGUCGAUUCGUUGUAAUGCAUGAAACAGAAGACCAGACUAGUUUGUUGGGCCCAAGUAUAAAGCCCAGCGGGCCGUACCUGGCCCACAGGCCAUAGUUUGCCCAGGUGUGUUUUAGAGUAUAGAACACAGUAGUCGUGAGUAAAUCUGGGCGUUCGCAUGAAAAUACACGCUGAUUUAAAUGGAUGAGACACAAAGUCACUUCUGUAUAAUUUCCCUCCGUCGUCGUCCAUUGUGUCUACACACACUUUUCCAACUCCAAUUUAUAUUUAAAAGCACUUUGUGUCCUUGCGUUAUCAAAGUGAAUUGUUUAAGUGCGUCACCUCCUUGACAAUGAUUCCCGCAGCUGUAAAUAUGUCCGGCACGUCCAAUUGAUUCACGGCUGCCAAUAUCAUGACCAUCAUUAAAACAGAUCUGGGAGAAUCUCAGGAUAUGGAUCUUGUCAAGGGCAGCUGUUAUGAGGAUGUUGCGUCGUCACUGACCUCCCUGUGAACCAUCAGCGUUAUCUGUGGAUUAAUUACCCGGCUUUCUCACCCUCUCGCUACCUGCUCUCGCUCUUUACUUUUCUGCAUCAUUUGUUCCCUUAUUCCCUUUGUCCUUUUCUUCUCUCUGAAUUUCAAUGAUCCUCGUCCACCUCUCCUCAUUCCUUAAACUUUACUGUACAUCCCACUUUUGAUUAAAGUACAGCAGACUGCAGAAGAUAAGAAAAGAGACUACACUCACCCCCCCAAACACUUAUAUUCAAGGCCAAGGAAGAUCUUUUUAAACCCUCCACAUCUCCUGCCACCCAGAGGGGCAUUUAGAAACAUAGUGCUGUAUCAAUUGUUUUCACUGGAAGCAAGAUGGAGAGACCCCUACAGGCAAGGGACAAACAGGUAAACAGUUUUUUUUAAUGAUUAAGAAUAUGUACACACACAACAUCAAAUGUUUAGUUCGUCUUAAUCCCAUAAUUAUUUUUUUGUGAUCAGAAUAGUCACGAGUCACCACGUGUUUCAUAAUGAGUUUCUGUAUUAAAAUAAUCUGAAAAACAGUGUUUAUAAACAACCAAUCCCUGGUGCAGAGGCAGAUUUGGACCAGGAAACUUAUAACGUCACACCGUAUAUUGUGUGCAUUAAAAUAGCGCACUGCUGUAUUUUCUGUGACUAGAAAAGAGUGUUCAUGAGUCACUACUGUCUUUCACCCGAGGCUCAGCAGCCAGCCAGCUGAAGCGGGGGGUUGCGGGGGUGUGGGGGGUGGAGGGGGUAUUUUUGUCGUUCUAAUACAGCAUGAAGACAUCAUUAUCCUGAAACACGCUGGAAAACACAGUCUCCAUUGUUUAAAUGGCGCAAAACAGGCAGAUACCAUCAACCGUUUCAUCCUGGUCACAGUCAUGGAGAUCAUUAGAUGUUGCUUCUGUGAUUGCCAGCUUAGCAUCACACCACUGUGUGAACUCUCCCUCAGCGAGGGAUGUGCGAGGGAUGUUAUCUUUUGUCGUGCACACACAAGCGCUGCCUACAGGGAGGGAAGAGGUGUGCAUGCAGAGAACAUGGAUGAUUAGGGCGCAGAGAAGCUCAGCAACUGCCAUGCUCCCUGUGAAUAUUAAGGCGGCCUCACAGGAGACCCCAUUGUCGGCCUCACGUCCUUUUGACGAGUCAUGAAUGGCAUAAAGUGUCUGAGAUCUUCUCUACGUUCCUGCCAUGUCACCUACACUUAAACUCCACAUAUAUAUUUUAAAAGGCUGCACGUCUCCAGACGCAGAAUAUACAGUAUACAGUAUAUACUCAGUCACUCUAACUCCAAGAAUUCAAACUCUAAACUUUUUAUGGCAUUUGUUAAAUAUUUAAAAACAUAAUAAAUCACAGAAUAUUUGAGAAAACCCUCGAGCUCUGUUGAUUUGGCAUCAGAAUCAAUGUUUUGCCACUGAAGUGAUUUUUUUUUUUUUACCAUAAAUUAUUUGCCACUUUAUUACAUAUUAACCACCUGCUGUAGAAGAACAGUUUACUGUGUUAGAACAUCAAGUACGCUACAAGUCUUUUGGUUAAAUUUUGAUAACAAUUUGUUGAGACAAGUUUAUAUUUUUGAUGCUAUCAGUGUAACAAAUCUGUGGACUGUGAAUGUUAGCCAAGAGUCCAGAUGAAGUCUACACUAACAGAGAAGGAGGUGCUCUGUUCUCUCCAUCUCUUUUAAGUGGCGCAUCCAGCCAGUGUGUCAGUGACCUGAUUACCCCAACUGUCAGUCUGACUGAAGUCCAGGCUUUAAAUUCUCCAGUUCCUGGAUUCUCGCUAUGGGUCUGGGAAAGGUCCGGAACAGGACGGAGACAAGUGAAGGCAGCAGACCCAGAGCUACAUACAUUUAGAUUAAUCUGGUUGCCAUAGAGUGGGAUGUAUUUCAGAAAGAUUGUCUGUAAGUGAAAAAUGUUUUCUGCCUUUUGUAAAGUAUUAUUUUUUAUUUUACUGUUGAGUUAAAGCUUAGAUUUCCAUGUUUUGUUUUGUUUUUCUAAAGAACUUCUCAUGUAAAAAGUAUAUAUCACUCAACUAGCUAAUCCCAACAGAAUAAUAACGGAAGGACUCUGUGGCUCCGAGGGGCAGUUGAACACACAGGGCAACAGGAUGCAACCAGUGGGUGGACCCUGUUUCUGUGCAAGUUUCUCAUUUAAUAAAUCCUUCUUUUCCUUUCCAAACAGAGCGCGUUGCCUGAGCCUAAGCCUGGACUCCACAGAGAUUUUUUUUUCUUCUAACAGUCAAUUCUUACUUUUCAUCAUUGUUUUCCUUUUGGAACAACUGAUGAAUGGAUUUUGUUUUUCUCUGGCACAGGUUUUAAAGCUCCGCAAAGAUCUGAAAUCACUCCUUGGAUUGGAUAAACAAGUCUGUGGAUCCUAGGCUCUUCUUCAAACUCCAGAACGAUGGCACAGUGCACGUCUGACAGGUCGAUCCUGAAUCACAAGGACUUGAAAACCGCCUCAGACCAGCCUGCGUCAGCUACACUGGUCAAAGUCAGACCUACAGACCUGGGGCUGGUACGGAGUCUGUCCAAGUCCGACUCUGACUUGUUGGCAUCGCCCAGCGCAGACGAGGAUGGAGGUCUGGCUGCCCGCAGUGGGUCAGUGUCCAACUGCAGCUCUGGGAAGACUUCCACGCAGCGUAUGUCUGCCUUUGCCUCCGAGUGGGAUGAGAUUGAGAAGAUAAUGAACUUGAUUGGAGCAGGGAUUGAAACUUCCAAAUAUAAACAGUCAACACCGAGUCCAGAUGGGGCCUGUGGUAAAGCCCUGGACCAGCCGGUGGGAGAGUGGCUGGAGCACGUGGGGCUGCCGCAGUACGAGAGCAAGUUCCUGCUCAAUGGCUUUGACGACCUUCGAUUCAUGGGAAGUAACGUGAUGGAGGACCUGGAUCUCAGAGACAUUGGGAUCACGGAUCCAGGACACAGAAAAAAGAUCCUCCACGCUGCACGCAGUUUACCCAAGGUGAAGGCACUGGGCUGUGAUGGCAGCACGUCUCUGGCCACCUGGCUGGACGGCCUUGGUCUGCAUGAGUAUCUGCCCAACUUCCUUUCAAGUGGCUACCGCACACUGGAGUGUGUGAAGAACCUGUGGGAACUGGAGAUCAUCAAUGUUAUUAAAGUAACCGCCCUGGGCCACAGGAAGAGAAUCAUCGCCUCGAUAGCAGAGCGACCGUAUGAAGAAGCUCCAUCCAAGUCUCGACGUAUGUCCCCAAUCCUGUUUCAUGACCUCCUGUCCCAGAGCACGACCCCACUCAGUCAGAUGGACCCCUAUACCAGUCGCUCCAUGGACAUGCUCCUGCCCUUGACGGAAUCGGACCGCAGGCGGAGAGGAGUGGACCAGGACUGUAGUGUCUCUCUGCGGUCGUACAGUGACCGGCCUCGCUCUAUGGACAGACAGAGCGACAGACACAAAGAGUCCCGUUUAAACCUGCGGCCACCGAGCCACUCUGCUACCUACACCACGGUGUCGGCCUGGCAUCACCAGCCUGAGAAGCUCAUCCUGGACUCCUGUGGGUACGAGGCUACAUACCUUGGAUCAAUGAUAAUCAGGGACCUGCGAGGAAUUGAGUCCACACAAGAUGCCUGUGCCAAAAUUAGGAAAUCCAAGGAUUCCAGGAAGGGCCCGGUUGUCAUUCUGUCCAUAACCUACAGGGGAGUGAAGUUCAUAGAUGCAGCCACAAAGAGCAUCGUAGCAGAGCAUGAGAUCAGGAAUAUCUCCUGCGCCGCCCAGGACCCAGAUGACCUCUGCACUUUUGCUUACAUCACCAAGGAUCUGAAGAGUGGGCACCACUUCUGCCAUGUUUUCAGCACUGUGGAAGUGACCCAGACCUAUGAGAUCAUCCUCACCCUGGGUCAAGCUUUCGAGGUGGCCUAUCAGAUGGCAAUGCAGUCCAGGGCCAGACACUUUGCAACGCCCACACCUGUGGUCUCAGAGGUCGUGGAGACCAAAGCCAGCCGUCCUGUAUCUCAGUCAUGGAGCAGCAUGCGGAGAUCGGCAGGUGCACCUCCGCUCGAAUGCCGCUGCUGUCACUGUCACACGUGUACUACCCACCGUCCUUCCUUCCUCCCGUUGCACUCUGUUAGCCCUGGAGUCCAGAUCGACCCCCUGGAGAUGGACGCAGACAUGCAGUCUCUGGGCAGCACCACCUGGCUCUUGGACCAGCGGGACUCCAACAACAGGCGCCCCGUCAGCACCAAGUACGAGACAACCAUAUUCUAAGGCCGGACCCCCAACAGCUGCCCCUCUGCACCUCAGUCAUACUUUCUUCUUACCCUCUGAUUCACACACACACACACACACACAAGCCCUGUGCCUUCUCACUGUGAUGGUAUAGCACCCCUCAGGGCUGCCCACUCCUGCUCCCUACUCUGCCCCGCCCAGCGAGCUACACCGACCUCCCACCCACCAUGACAAACACUCCUGCAGCUCUCCUGCGCCUCCCCUCCACUCCAGGCUGGCAGUGUCCUUUGCCUGUUGCUGCUGCAGCCAAUGACAGAGCCCUGGAACUUUCAUCUUUUUUUGAACCAAAACUGCCUCCUCCUCCUCCUCAUCUUCAUCUCCCUUCUUUUGACAACUUCCAUCUGCCUCCAAGUCCCCCAAACUUCUAAAAGGUUCUUCUUCCACUUUCAGCCUUUCCUGUCUUACCAGGCAUCAACCACUGUGAGGCACUGUAAGGAGGCUGUUUUGCUAGCAUGGGAAAGAAUGCACGUUGGGAGUAAAAGAGAAGAGAAAAAUAAAACCCAAAAACGGCCACAUGCAGCAAAACAACCCUUGGUUUUAUUUUUCUACACAUUUGUACAAAACUCAUGAGAACGAACAGCUCCAGAAUCUAAACUGAAAUGGACCAACAAGGACUGAACCCUUGUAUGAUCACACACAAGACAACUUUACUACAUUCAAUCAAGGACGGCAGCCUUACGUACUCCAUUUUUGGGUUAUCUUCAAUUUAAUACAUUUUCCCCUUCACCUCCCAGAACCCUGUCAACCAUCGCCCGACAGAUGCACGCUUCCUCACUAUCUCAACAGGACGGAGAAAAAAAAAAAAAAGCCAACACUUCUGA